AUGAUCUAAAAACAAUCCCCAAACCAAAAAAUUAGAGAUUAUUUCCUCAAAAUUAGGUAUUUUAAUCAUAUCUUAACAUAAAUACAUUAUCAUCCAAUAUGCAUAAUGUUUUUCAACUUUUUUGUUAAAUGACUUAUUUUAGAUGAACAGAUGUGUGAAUAUGAAUAUUUUUAUUUUACUUAUAGCCAUCUUGCAUGUGAGUAACUCACAACUUUAAUUCAUGGAACAAAGUUGAGAAAUAGUCUUUUGGGGGUUUGGUACUCCCUGGAAACAUGAGUGCUUUGAGCACCUCUGGUGCCUUUCCACACCUGCCUUCUCUGCUGGUCUUGCUGCUAGUAAAUUCCAAAUCAUGGCCAAGUGAUGCCAGCACUGGAUAAUACUGGCUCUGCCCCACAUUUCCAGGGAAAACUCUGGGACUUGGCAUUAUAUGUGUGGAAAUCUGGUCUUGGUUGGCACUCCCAGCAUGAUAGCAGGGUUCUGCUGUCUGAAUGUACUCUGGGGUGUGUGCCACAACUUCCACCAUCAAAAUGGAGAUGACAGAAUACUCCCUUGGGGUGGGGGGAACACCCCACUGGAAUUACGGUGAAGAGAUCAAAGCUAGAGGUUCUUAAAGAAUAUCUAAUAUCAAAGAGAAAAACUUGCUUAAAGGAAAUGCAUUUAAGUACUAGAUCUAAUAUAAUGAAAAAUGCCAACUUUAACAUAUUGAUACAUGCUUAGUAUACUUUCAGUCCUGCAAAGACAAAGUUUUAAAACACACAACAUUGGCAGCUCCCAAGUCAAAUCUGGCCCAUAGACAUGUUUUAUUUAACCUAUAAUGUAGUAACACUUGACCCAAAAUUUAAAAAUUGAAAAGUUUCAUAUAAAAAUACAGAUUUACAGCUUUUCUAGAAAAGUUAUGAGUUAACAGUUUCUGAAUUGCAACAGCAGCUGGAACACAGUUGCCACUGACCAUUUAGAUGGCUGCUGCAGUCCCCAUUGCUCACUCUGGCUUCCCUGGCUCAGGUAGGCAUUCUCAUUCGUAACCCCUGGCUUAAAACAUAACUUUCUAGUUUUUUAAAUUCUCUCAAAAUCAAAUAACCUGAACUAGCAAAUGAUCUAUCUAGAUCUCAUACAUGAAACUCAUAAAAAACUGACCACAGACAGUGGCUCUCAAACUUUGCUGUAAAUGAGAGUCACUGGGAAGCUUUUAAAAAUCCUGUUCCCGGUGCUCGGGUGUGAUCAGCAUUGGUGUCUGAGUGUAGUGGGCAGAAAAGACUUGGCCAGGCAGAUGGCUUCUCGGUGGCAGAGCAUGGGGACCUCCGUGCACUGGAGAUCUCUCCGGCACCAGGAGCAGCUGGAGAACAGCAAGGAGCUGCAGCCUGUGGCCAGCCAUCAGGAGACCUCCUCCGGGGCCCUAGGGUCCCUGUGCACAGUUCCAAAGGAGGCUGCCCCUGAAAGCCGUCAACCUCAACCUCCGCGCAGGCCCCUCCUGGAAAUGCCUGGAAACCCCAGAGCCAGGGCAGCAGGGCCUCCAGGCAGCAGCUCGCUCAGCUAAGAGUGCCUUGGGUGCCAUGUCCCAGAGAAUCCAGGAGUCCUGCCAAAGUGGCACCAAGUGGCUGGUGGAGACCCAGGUGAAGGCCAAGAGGAGGAAGAGAGGGGCACAGAAGGGCAGUGGAUCCCCAACUCACAGCUUGAGCCAGAAGAACACCUGGCUGUCUGGAGCCUCCCCUGCCUACUCACUUGCAGACCCCUGGGAGAAGGAGCAUCACUGCCUCUCUGCCCGGAUGGGCUCAUGUGCCCACCCAUUACGGCAGUCGAGGCGAGAGGCAGCCUUCUGGAGCCCCUACUCGUCUACAGAGCCCCUCUGACAGUGAUCUAGAGCCUGUGGGGGCGGGAAUUCAGCACCUACAGAAGCUGUCCCAAGAGCUAGAUGAAGCCAUCAUGGCAGAAGAGAGGAAACAAGCCCUGUCUGACCGCCAAGGCUUCACACCCAAGGAUGUCUGUGCUUCCCCAUGCACUUCCUGGAGGAAGUCCGCAGGAGUCACCAGUACCCCUGGGCCCCUGCUAAUGAGGACCUGACUAACAAGGGGCCUGGAGCCCCCAUGCUCCGGCUACAUCUGGACCCAUCAGUGACUGCCAGCCAUAGCCCGAGAGUGUCUUGGGGAGAGUAAUUUGCAGAGGUGGGGAGAAUUGUGCCUUCUGCUUUCCCCAGGGGACUCUUGAGCUUAGAAACUCAUUAUACACCUGACUUUGAGCUUUGUAUUUGCCUCAUCUGUAACGUGAACUGCUAGCAUCCGAUGUUUGAGAGCUCUUAGCCGUGUACCCAGGUGUCUGGUUUUGGGGGUGUCAUCCGCAGAGUCACUCACUGUCUCUGUUUCUGGUGCCAAGGCUCCUGAGGGCCCCACUCUCAUCCCUACUUUCCCUACCAGGGACUCAGAGGAAGGCAUAGGAGAUAUUUCCAGGCUUAAGACCCUGGGCUCACAGGUACCUAUUUAUAUGCUCUAUGCAGAGUGCUGUGGGUAUGCCGGGAGGGGUAGCCUAUUCGAGAGCAAUUUCUGCCCUUUGUAAAUUAUUUAAGAAAUCUGCUUUGUCAUUUUAUUAGAAAGAAACCAGCGUGUGACUUUCCUAGAUAACACUGCUUUCUCAUAAUAAAGACUGUUUGCCUUUG
This is a non-coding RNA of Callithrix jacchus (white-tufted-ear marmoset), 2647 nucleotides long. The record is from RefSeq and is a predicted model, not a curated record. Lineage: Eukaryota; Metazoa; Chordata; Mammalia; Primates; Cebidae.